CAAAGCUAUUUAACAGCAUGGUUCAUGCUUCUUGGUAUGGUUUGCAGGUUCUAGGCACAGAUGACUGGAAGGAGAGAAAAAGACAGGACACGUAACUAGGAAGAGAAAUAAGGAAUAAGGAGAUCAAGAAAAGAAAGGAUAAAAGGAGCUGCAUCUGGUCAGGAAGGGCAGCUGCCAUCCUAAUUACCUUUGGUGCCUCAUGGGCACACCGAUGACACAGGUGUUUCUCCUUGUCUUAAAUGAUAAAUAGCUCCCAGCUGGCCUACCCUAAGUGAAUGACUCUCACAGGUGAAUAAUGGUUAGGUUUCAUUAGGACUCAGGCAUUUUUAGGGCUUCUUGGAAGGUUCAUCAAGAUCCAUUUAUUGUAGGAAGAUAGAUUGGUUACAGGGAUUGGUCAAUUGGUUAUCUUCUCAAGCAAUUUCUGAGCUAAAAUCUGAACCACUGCUGUGCUCUUUUAGACCCUCUGCCUUUUUUAAAUCACUAAAAAAAGAAAAACCAACAAUCACUAUGGAAUGUAAAGAAAUUACCUUGGGUACAUCUUUAAGGGUAUAGAAAGGGAGUCAAGGAAUUGUUAGACCUCACUUUGUCUCUAACGUCCAGGACUGGGUUAGGGAUCCUGUCCAGGCUUGCCCGUGGUGCCCUGUGCUUCAUUCCUGGUAACUCAGAAGCCUAUUUGCCCAACUCUUCACUAUCCUGAAGCCAGUGAAUGGAUAAUUUGAUGCAACAGCACAGGUUUAAUAGCAGGUUGAAAGCAUCUAAAAGAAACAGUAAGUGCAAAGUGAUACCAUCUGGUAGCUUAUCCAUGAGCACAAAUCAUCUCAGUUUUCAGAAUUCACAGGAAUAAGAGUACCUACUCUGUGCCAGAAACGUCCCAAUUAUUAUUUAAUCCUCACAACAACUGUAGAAGGAUGGAUUCUAAUCUCCAUUUACCAACAAGGAGACUGAUGGUCAGCGUGGCCUCAUCAAUGUUUACAGAGGGGAAGAGUGAAGGACAAUAUGGAACGAGGCCAGGAGUGUUGUGUUCUCUCCAAAUGGAAGGAAACCUCUGGAAUGGGAAAGAAGCAUUCCCUCCUAACAUGGUGUGUUCCUAGAAGGAGAUUCUGAGGAAGACAUGGACCUUCUCAGAAGAAAGUGCACUCCAGAUACCUGAAAAUGUACAUUCUACUUGGUGUUAUUCAGAAAUCUAUGGAAAUCAAUCCAUGGCCUACUUUGGAAUCCAUAGAUCACAAAUCCCAUUUUAAACACAAAUCUAAGUUUAAAUAACUAUGUUCAUUGUGAUUAUAAAACAAAAAUUAAAUCUUAAAUUUUUGAUGGAAUACAUAUAUAAUAAAAAUAAUAUUUUAAAUACAAUAGAUAUGGACAAAACCUUCAAGGAAAGCAAUACACCUAAAUACACACGUGCACACACAUACCAGGAAGCAAGGGGGUGAGUGGCAGGAAAAAAAUGCAUAUUUUUUCUCAUUUGUUCAGGGAAUAGAUUAAAAGAUAUGGCAAUGUUUGGUAGGUUUAAGCAAGUAUAUAAAGAUAUAAAAGUAACAUUUAGAAAAAUUGGAGAAAAAGAAUACAUUCUAAUGGUGAGAAAAAAUAAAUACAGAAUAUUACAGAUAGAUUAAUUAAACACGGUAACAUUUUAAUAAUCAGUGUAUCUAGGCAGUGAGUAUAUGGCUGUUCGUUGCAUAUCAUUCUGUCAACUUUUCUAUAUAUUAAAUUUUUUUCACAAUAAAACCAUGUGUGAUGAGAAAAAGAAGCAAACUAUGCAGUAAAGGCUAAAGAAGAAAAAUCAUAAAAGCUAUUCUAGAAUUGCUCUAAUAAAAUUUAAAAACAAAUCUCAAACGGAGUAAGCUGAGUAAUGUAGCUGUUUCCCUCUCACAAUUCAAAUACUCCUUAAAAUAAAACCAGUAAGUCCAAAUUACUCAGAAACAUAAUACUCAUAAGGUGUGGCAUCUAAUCAUCUAAUCAAAAAUUAUAAGAUAGAGAUGAAGCAGGAAACUGUGACCCAUAAUGAAGAGAAAAAAUUCAAUCAUAGAAACGGGUAUAGAAAUAACAGAGCUGGUGAAAUUAUCAGAAAAUGAUGUUUAAAACCACAAGUGUAAAUAUGUUCAAGGAUUUAAAGGAAAACAUGAAGAAAUAAAUAGAACAUAUGGA
This 2145-nucleotide long non-coding RNA is filed under the name Homo sapiens (human). RNAcentral describes it as "HSALNT0249068". The record is from RNAcentral. Lineage: Eukaryota; Metazoa; Chordata; Mammalia; Primates; Hominidae.